AUAUCAAUAAGCGGAGGAAAAGAAACCAACAGGGAUUGCCUCAGUAACGGCGAGUGAAGCGGCAACAGCUCAAAUUUGAAAUCUGGCCUUCCGGUCCGAGUUGUAAUUUGCAGAGGAUGCUUCGGGCGCGGUGCCUUCCAAGUCCCCUGGAACGGGGCGCCGGAGAGGGUGAGAGCCCCGUACGGUUGGCGGCCAAGCCUGUGUGAAGCUCCUUCGACGAGUCGAGUAGUUUGGGAAUGCUGCUCUAAGCGGGAGGUAGACCCCUUCUAAAGCUAAAUACCGGCCAGAGACCGAUAGCGCACAAGUAGAGUGAUCGAAAGAUGAAAAGCACUUUGAAAAGAGGGUUAAACAGCAC
Molecule: ribosomal RNA, 355 nt
Filed under: uncultured fungus
Lineage: Eukaryota; Fungi
Description: eukaryotic LSU rRNA
Rfam family: Eukaryotic large subunit ribosomal RNA
Source: RNAcentral